UAUUUUAUGUAUGGCCCAAGACAAUUCUUCUUCUUCCAGUGUGGCCUGGGGAAGCCAAAAGAUUGGACACCUAUGGCCUAGAUGGACCUGAAGCCAGGUAAGUACAUAGCAGGUAAGCUGAGUUCCAAAUGGGAGGCAGUGGGAAUGAGUUUUUCAUUCACUUAUUAUUAUUGAUAUUGAUAUUAUUAUUGAAUUUAAAUCCUGUACUCCCAGUUACUACCAGCGUGAUUUGAGGCAAUUUACUUAAACCUGCCCCAGUUAAUUCAUCUCUAAAAUUAAAAUAAUAAUAUGUAUCCUGCAGGUGAUGGUAAGAAUUAGAAAUAAGGCAUCAACAUGCCUCACACAUUGCUUCUCUAACUGGAUUCACAAAUGUACUCUCGGGAGUCCAAAAGUUCUCCACAAAAAUUUUAUCUUAAGUUCUUAACCUUUUUUUACAUGUACUUUAUUUUUAGGAGCAGUUUUAGGUUCAUAUCAUAUUUAAGAAGAUAGCACAAAGAACUCUCUCUACUGGUAGUUUAUAAUCUACCCCCAUUGCUCCAUCUGGAUAUCAUUCCCCAUCAUUGACUUCUUGCACCAAAGUGGUACGUUUGUUUCAAUUGAUGAGGCACAAUUGACACAUCAUUGUCUCCCAGAGUUCAUAGUUUACAUUAGAUUUACUCCUGAUGUUGUAGAGUUAUAAUUUGCCAUGGGUUUUUAACAAAUACAGCAUGACAUGUAUCCACCAUUAUUGUAUCAUACCGAAUAUAGGCAUAUCUCAGAGAUAUCGUGGCUUGAUUCCAGGCCAUCACAAUAAAGCAAAUACUGCAAUAAUGCGAGUCAUAUGAAUUUUUCAUUCCCCAGUGCAUAUAAAAGUUACAUUAACACCAUAGUAUAUUAAGUGUGCAAUGGCAUUAUGUCUAAAAAACAGUAUACACACCUUAACAAAUAUUUAUUUGCUAAUGAUUAAAAUGCUAAUGAUUACCUAAGCCGUCAGCUAACUGUAAACAUGUUACUGGUGGAUGGUCUUGCCUCAGUGUUGAUGGCUGCUGACUGAUCAGGGUGGUUGUUGCUGAAGAUGGUAGGUGGCUGUGGAAAUUUCUUAAAAUAAAACAAAAAUGAAGUCUGCCACAUCGAUUGACUUUUCCUUUCAGGAAAGAGUUUUCUGGAGCAGGCAAUACUGUUUGAUGGCAUCUUACCCACAGUAGAAUUUCUUUCAAAAUUGGAGUCAAGCCUCCCAAACCCUGCCACUGUUUCAUCAGCUAAGUUUACGUAAUGUUCUAAGUCCUUUGCUGUCAUUUCAACAGUGUUCACAGUAUCUUCACCAGGAGUAGAUUCCAUCUCAAGAAAGCACCUUUUUUAUUCAUAAGAAACAACUCCUCAUCUGUUCAAGUUUUAUUAUGAAAUAGCAGCAAUUCAGUCCCAUCUUCAGGUUCCACUUCCAAUUCUAGUUCUCUAUUUCUAUUACAUUUGCAAUUGCUUCCUCCACUGAAGUCUUGAAUCCUUCAAAAUCAUUCAUAAGGAUUAGAAUCUACUUCUUACAAACUUCUGUUUUCAAUUUUCUUAUCU
Sapajus apella (tufted capuchin) is the source of this 1545-nucleotide long non-coding RNA. RefSeq lists it as uncharacterized. The record is from RefSeq and is a predicted model, not a curated record. The transcript has 3 exons. NCBI's taxonomy places the organism in Eukaryota, Metazoa, Chordata, Mammalia, Primates, Cebidae.